Molecule: ribosomal RNA, 472 nt
Filed under: uncultured bacterium
Lineage: Bacteria
Description: partial 16S ribosomal RNA
Rfam family: Bacterial small subunit ribosomal RNA
Source: RNAcentral
AGUGAACGCUGGCGGUAGGCCUAACACAUGCAAGUCGAACGGCAGCACAGUAAGAGCUUGCUCUUACGGGUGGGGGGUGGCGGACGGGAGAGGAAUACAUCGGACUCUACUUUUUCGGGGGGGAUAACGUAAGGAAACUUACGCUAAUACCGCAUCCGACCUACGGGUGAAAGCAGGGGAUCUUCGGACCCGGCGCGAGUGGAUGGGCGGGUGGCGGAUUAGCUUGUUGGCGGGGUAGUGGCCUACCAAGGCUUUGAUGGGUAGCUGGCCUGAGAGGGUGGCCGGCCACAUUGGGACUGCGAUACGGCCCAGAGUCGUACGGGAGGCAGCAGUGGGGAAUAUUGCACAAUGGGCGGAAGCCUGAUGCAGCAACGCCGCGUGCGGGAUGACGGCCUUCGGGUUGUAAACCGCUUUCGCCUGUGACGAAGCGUGAGUGACGGUAAUGGGUAAAGAAGCACCGGCUAACUACGUG